RNAcentral lists this ribosomal RNA (607 nucleotides) under uncultured bacterium. Its description in RNAcentral is "bacterial SSU rRNA". It matches the Rfam family "Bacterial small subunit ribosomal RNA", at positions 88 to 680 of the family's 1533-position model. The record is from RNAcentral.
GAAGUUAGCGGCGGACGGGUGAGUAACACGUGGGUAACCUGCCCAUAAGACUGGGAUAACUCCGGGAAACCGGGGCUAAUACCGGAUAACAUUUUGAACUGCAUGGUUCGAAAUUGAAAGGCGGCUUCGGCUGUCACUUAUGGAUGGACCCGCGUCGCAUUAGCUAGUUGGUGAGGUAACGGCUCACCAAGGCAACGAUGCGUAGCCGACCUGAGAGGGUGAUCGGCCACACUGGGACUGAGACACGGCCCAGACUCCUACGGGAGGCAGCAGUAGGGAAUCUUCCGCAAUGGACGAAAGUCUGACGGAGCAACGCCGCGUGAGUGAUGAAGGCUUUCGGGUCGUAAAACUCUGUUGUUAGGGAAGAACAAGUGCUAGUUGAAUAAGCUGGCACCUUGACGGUACCUAACCAGAAAGCCACGGCUAACUACGUGCCAGCAGCCGCGGUAAUACGUAGGUGGCAAGCGUUAUCCGGAAUUAUUGGGCGUAAAGCGCGCGCAGGUGGUUUCUUAAGUCUGAUGUGAAAGCCCACGGCUCAACCGUGGAGGGUCAUUGGAAACUGGGAGACUUGAGUGCAGAAGAGGAAAGUGGAAUUCCAUGUGUAGCG